Molecule: non-coding RNA, 1332 nt
Organism: Cyanistes caeruleus (blue tit)
Lineage: Eukaryota; Metazoa; Chordata; Aves; Passeriformes; Paridae
Source: RefSeq, a predicted model, not a curated record
GGAAAGCAUCAGGGACAGAGGUUUGAGUAUCAAGAUUCUACAAGCUGAAGGGAUGAUAAAAGCCCAUCAUCUCUUGGAAAUGAAAUGACACAGGAGGUACGAAGCAAAGCAUUAACAGUGAAGGUGUCCUCUGCUCCAGAUUUGACAAGGUGGCAAAAUGCUGCAAUGGAAGAGAAUCACAAGAUAAAAUAUUUAGGCAGAGCAGAGAUCAGUGGCUUCCUCUCUAGCACCAGCUAUGUUGAGACCACGCCAGGUAGUGGAGAAAAGGUGUCUUGUAUCACAGCCCUCCGAUGCUCACAGGGCUAUCAAGAGGGAGUUCUGAUUUGUUUGAGGAGGCUGGUGCUGCUGACCCUUAAUACCAGUUCAGUUGCCUGAUCUUGCUGAUUAAGUAACUCCAGUGGUCAUCUCCAAAGGAUGGUAUUAUCUCUUGUGCCAGAAAGGACUUCAGCUACUGAAAAGUUUGUACAGGGAAGUUUUGUUUUCUUGUCACAUGCAAAAAAGUGAACUGUUCUCACUUAGAAGAAAGCAAUAAGGACAAACAGAUGCUCAGCAACAGCCCAAUAAAUUAUCCAUUUUAUAAUUUCCAGUUACCCCAAAGCAUGGUUUUACUGAUAGAUGACUUACUUUUAUGUUUAGCUGCUUCCUCACUCCAUUGUUGCCAUGGUAACACCUCUGAAACAUUGCUUCUUUCUGAGGAGAUGAAACGUAAAGUGGCUGGAAUAUCUGAGAUUUUAAAUAUUAGAUGAAAACAACAGAAAAAUGGUGGAGUGAGUCAGACAUUACAGGCAGGUGACACCCACAAUACCUGCCAGUAAAUUGGGCUAUGGGGUAGAGCUACCUUUACUGCUCUCCUCCUAUAAGCUGAACACAGCAGACAGCUCUUAGGAGUUGUCCUGAACCUGGGCUAUCCUGAUGCUCAGAGGCAGGUGAGCACAUUUAUGACCAAGCCUGGCUAAAAAACUGGCUAAACUCUGCAAGGAGUAAGGAAUAGCAAAAAAUAAUUUACAGAAGUGCUGUAUUUAUUAUUUUCCAGUGAUAAACAUUUCUUGUUAAAAUUGGCAAUAACCACAAAUUUUCCUGGUAUUUUGCUGUAAAAUCUGUUAGGAAGCUAACAUGGAAAUACUGUAAAAAGCAUUCCUGCCAAUGUUUGAAAAUAUACCAACAUUUGCUUUGACCAUGUCUUUUCACUAAUGGUAACAAACAUCAGUUAUCUGGGUUUGGAGGGGGUUGUGCUGCAGAUGUGUCCAUUUUUGUAAACUUAAAGGGAACUUCUGUGGAGGAUUCUUAAUGUACUGCAGCUACAGUGAUGUCUCCUGCUACACCAACCCUUUU